Molecule: long non-coding RNA, 661 nt
Organism: Pseudoliparis swirei
Lineage: Eukaryota; Metazoa; Chordata; Actinopteri; Perciformes; Liparidae
Exons: 2
Source: RefSeq, a predicted model, not a curated record
GCCGGCCGUGCCGUCGCCGCUCUGGCGUGAGAAGCAGAGGAAGGUGGCCCAGACGAAGGCGCAGCAGCCGGUGAAGGCGGUCCGAAUUUCUCCCUCCAGUCUUCAAAGAUGUCGUUGUUUCCCUCCAGGAAGCUGACACCUGAGUGAAGAAGAACCCACAGCAGACCGUUCACUCUGUGACUGAUGGGCGGUUUAAAAAACAACGUACGGGGACGAUAAACACGCCGAUGUGUGUGUUAUAGCAGCAAUCAUCACAUAAUCACUCAAGAAAGAUGUCACAUUGUGUUUUCCCGAGCAGUGUUAUCGAUACACAUUAUGAACAAUGCAGUAUUAUGAGAUUUGUAUUGCGUUUUUUAAUGUAGAUUAAUGUUACGGUUUUCCGCCAGGCGUCAGAUUAAUAAUAUUACGUAGACAUAUUUUAUUUAUAUUAAUUUUGUGUUUUUUUCUAUAAUAUUGUGACAUUUUAAUAUUAUAUAUGUGGAGGCUUCAAAUAAGCCCAGUGGGCUGUUUGCCUUUCCCUGCACUGUGAUAUUAUUUACCUCUGUUGUGUUUUUGUGUUUUCUUUUAUUGUGUUUUUUUUAUAUUUUAAUGAAAGCCCGCACUUAGUAAAUCUAUUUUUCUAAUGUAAUAUAAUAUCCAUUUAAAAGGCAGUAUUCAAGUG